Molecule: ribosomal RNA, 468 nt
Filed under: uncultured bacterium
Lineage: Bacteria
Description: partial 16S ribosomal RNA
Rfam family: Bacterial small subunit ribosomal RNA
Source: RNAcentral
UCCUCCCUCUUGCUUCGUGCUUAACACAUGCAAGUCGAACGGAAAGGCCCUGCUUUUGUGGGGUGCUCGAGUGGCGAACGGGUGAGUAACACGUGAGUAACAUGCCCUUGACUUUGGGAUAACUUCAGGAAACUGGGGCUAAUACCGGAUAGGAGCUCCUGCUGCAUGGUGGGGGUUGGAAAGUUUCGGCGGUUGGGGAUGGACUCGCGGCUUAUCAGCUUGUUGGUGGGGUAGUGGCUUACCAAGGCUUUGACGGGUAGCCGGCCUGAGAGGGUGACCGGCCACAUUGGGACUGAGAUACGGCCCAGACUCCUACGGGAGGCAGCAGUGGGGAAUAUUGCACAAUGGGCGGAAGCCUGAUGCAGCAACGCCGCGUGCGGGAUGACGGCCUUCGGGUUGUAAACCGCUUUCGCCUGUGACGAAGCGUGAGUGACGGUAAUGGGUAAAGAAGCACCGGCUAACUACGUG